This 600-nucleotide ribosomal RNA is filed under the name uncultured bacterium. Its description in RNAcentral is "bacterial SSU rRNA". It matches the Rfam family "Bacterial small subunit ribosomal RNA", at positions 75 to 678 of the family's 1533-position model. The record is from RNAcentral.
CUUGCUUCUUGGGUGACGAGCGGCGGACGGGUGAGUAAUGCAUAGGAAUCUGCCCGAUAGUGGGGGAUAACCUGGGGAAACCCAGGCUAAUACCGCAUACGUCCUACGGGAGAAAGGGGGCUCCGGCUCCCGCUAUGGGAUGAGCCUAUGUCGGAUUAGCUAGUUGGUGAGGUAACGGCUCACCAAGGCAACGAUCCGUAGCUGGUCUGAGAGGAUGAUCAGCCACAUCGGGACUGAGACACGGCCCGAACUCCUACGGGAGGCAGCAGUGGGGAAUAUUGGACAAUGGGCGCAAGCCUGAUCCAGCCAUGCCGCGUGUGUGAAGAAGGCCCUCGGGUUGUAAAGCACUUUCAGCGAGGAAGAACGCCUAGCGGUUAAUACCCGCUAGGAAAGACAUCACUCGCAGAAGAAGCACCGGCUAACUCCGUGCCAGCAGCCGCGGUAAUACGGAGGGUGCAAGCGUUAAUCGGAAUUACUGGGCGUAAAGCGCGCGUAGGUGGCUUGAUAAGCCGGUUGUGAAAGCCCCGGGCUCAACCUGGGAACGGCAUCCGGAACUGUCAAGCUAGAGUGCAGGAGAGGAAGGUAGAAUUCCCGGUGUAG